RNAcentral lists this long non-coding RNA (3191 nucleotides) under Zea mays. RNAcentral's name for it is "long non-coding RNA (ZMAY_LNC005449)". Lineage: Eukaryota; Viridiplantae; Streptophyta; Magnoliopsida; Poales; Poaceae. The record is from RNAcentral.
CACCGAGCCGUGUAUAACUAUAAUACCCAGCCGCCACGACAGCGUGCCCACAAACCCAACUCCUCUCGCUCUCUCCCCGUCUGCCCCUCUCUUGACGACCUCUUCCCAAAUGAAGCGCCCGCAACCGCAACAAGCUGCUGCGGAGCAGAUCAUGGCGCUGUACGACGCCUGCUGGUUCCGCCGCCUCGUGCUGCUCGCUUCCCCUCCUCCCGCGGCGGCACCUCGGCCAUCUGUACCGGCGCAGCAGGCGCCGGUGGAGCGCGACGAGUUGGGUACUACGCACACGCCGCAUGCGCAGCGGCCUGCUUCUUCGAGUCCCACGGCCGGCGGGCUGCGGCACCGGCGAACGCGGAGCGACGAGGCUACCGCGGCCGCGUUCCUGGGCAUGGAGCCGCUGAGGCUCCCCGACAGAGGCAACCGCGCGCGCCUCCAGACCAUACUCUCGGGCAAAGACGGGCUCGUGGCCGCGCCGCCGCCGGAACGGAGAAGGCCCGGGCCCGGGAGGCGGCGGCAGCGGCGGCGCGGGCGGAGCAUGUCGGAGCUGGAGUUCGAGGAGGUCAAGGGCCUGCAGGACCUCGGCUUCACCUUCGCCGACGCCGAGGUGGACGCCGAGCUCGCGUCCAUCGUGCCGGGCCUAAGGAGGAAGCGGUCCGAGGAGGACAACAACAGCCGGGCCACGGCGGCGUCGACGUCUUCGGCCCGGCCGGAAGCUGCCGACGACGCGUCCGUGGCCGCCGUCGUGGCGCCGAGGCGGCCGUACCUCUCGGAGGCGUGGGACAGCGAGGAAGAAGAAGAGGUCAGGAGGGCGCUGCGCAGCUGGCGGAUACCGCCGGCUGGCGACGGCAACGAGCUCAAGGAGCACCUCCGGAUGUGGGCGCACACCGUGGCCUCCGCUGUCCGGUGACAGAAUCAACUUCUCUUUUCCUCCUCCUUUUUUUUAAUUGAUCACAAAACGCCAUUGGAGGUUGUCAGUUCGGUGACAGAUCGAAGUUUUGAGCAUGUAUAAAUAUGUGACCAAUAUUCGCAUGGGCAUCUAUAUCCAAGUUAUUAUUAUGAGCAUGUACAUGUACGUUUAUAUACAUAGUGGAAACACGAGAAGUGCAAUCCUUGUGCAGGAAGCAUAGCCAUAGCACGAAAUGAACAUGUGGCAAAAAAAAAGGGACAUGGGAGAGAGAGAUGAUCUCAUUUGCGCGCGCGCGGCAUGAGAUGCGAUCUCAUCUGAUUUCUGGCCACUGUUUGCCAAGAAAAGCAUCGUGUGGCUAGCUUGCUUUGAAGCUAAGGGUUCCAUAAUUCCACGAGUCAUGAUGGCAAGCCCAACAAUGAUGUGUUUGGAACAAUCUAGGUUUCCUGGCAGCUGACUUGUCAAAAUCCAGCGUGGUACGUGACAGAAAAGCUCUAGCUCCCCCUCCUCCUUAUUGGUCCUGAGUCAGCAGCUGCCCCUGCUGCUGCCUUUUUUUCUUCGUUCCACUAACUACAAUGUGCCCACAAACCCAACUCCUCUCGCUCUCUCCCCGUCUGCCCCUCUCUUGACGACCUCUUCCCAAAUGAAGCGCCCGCAACCGCAACAAGCUGCUGCGGAGCAGAUCAUGGCGCUGUACGACGCCUGCUGGUUCCGCCGCCUCGUGCUGCUCGCUUCCCCUCCUCCCGCGGCGGCACCUCGGCCAUCUGUACCGGCGCAGCAGGCGCCGGUGGAGCGCGACGAGUUGGGUACUACGCACACGCCGCAUGCGCAGCGGCCUGCUUCUUCGAGUCCCACGGCCGGCGGGCUGCGGCACCGGCGAACGCGGAGCGACGAGGCUACCGCGGCCGCGUUCCUGGGCAUGGAGCCGCUGAGGCUCCCCGACAGAGGCAACCGCGCGCGCCUCCAGACCAUACUCUCGGGCAAAGACGGGCUCGUGGCCGCGCCGCCGCCGGAACGGAGAAGGCCCGGGCCCGGGAGGCGGCGGCAGCGGCGGCGCGGGCGGAGCAUGUCGGAGCUGGAGUUCGAGGAGGUCAAGGGCCUGCAGGACCUCGGCUUCACCUUCGCCGACGCCGAGGUGGACGCCGAGCUCGCGUCCAUCGUGCCGGGCCUAAGGAGGAAGCGGUCCGAGGAGGACAACAACAGCCGGGCCACGGCGGCGUCGACGUCUUCGGCCCGGCCGGAAGCUGCCGACGACGCGUCCGUGGCCGCCGUCGUGGCGCCGAGGCGGCCGUACCUCUCGGAGGCGUGGGACAGCGAGGAAGAAGAAGAGGUCAGGAGGGCGCUGCGCAGCUGGCGGAUACCGCCGGCUGGCGACGGCAACGAGCUCAAGGAGCACCUCCGGAUGUGGGCGCACACCGUGGCCUCCGCUGUCCGGUGACAGAAUCAACUUCUCUUUUCCUCCUCCUUUUUUUUAAUUGAUCACAAAACGCCAUUGGAGGUUGUCAGUUCGGUGACAGAUCGAAGUUUUGAGCAUGUAUAAAUAUGUGACCAAUAUUCGCAUGGGCAUCUAUAUCCAAGUUAUUAUUAUGAGCAUGUACAUGUACGUUUAUAUACAUAGUGGAAACACGAGAAGUGCAAUCCUUGUGCAGGAAGCAUAGCCAUAGCACGAAAUGAACAUGUGGCAAAAAAAAAGGGACAUGGGAGAGAGAGAUGAUCUCAUUUGCGCGCGCGCGGCAUGAGAUGCGAUCUCAUCUGAUUUCUGGCCACUGUUUGCCAAGAAAAGCAUCGUGUGGCUAGCUUGCUUUGAAGCUAAGGGUUCCAUAAUUCCACGAGUCAUGAUGGCAAGCCCAACAAUGAUGUGUUUGGAACAAUCUAGGUUUCCUGGCAGCUGACUUGUCAAAAUCCAGCGUGGUACGUGACAGAAAAGCUCUAGCUCCCCCUCCUCCUUAUUGGUCCUGAGUCAGCAGCUGCCCCUGCUGCUGCCUUUUUUUCUUCGUUCCACUAACUACAAUGUGCCCACAAACCCAACUCCUCUCGCUCUCUCCCCGUCUGCCCCUCUCUUGACGACCUCUUCCCAAAUGAAGCGCCCGCAACCGCAACAAGCUGCUGCGGAGCAGAUCAUGGCGCUGUACGACGCCUGCUGGUUCCGCCGCCUCGUGCUGCUCGCUUCCCCUCCUCCCGCGGCGGCACCUCGGCCAUCUGUACCGGCGCAGCAGGCGCCGGUGGAGCGCGACGAGUUGGGUACUACGCACACGCCGCAUGCGCAGCGGCCUGCUUCUUCGAGUCCCAC